This 484-nucleotide ribosomal RNA is filed under the name uncultured bacterium. Its description in RNAcentral is "partial 16S ribosomal RNA". It matches the Rfam family "Bacterial small subunit ribosomal RNA", at positions 30 to 507 of the family's 1533-position model. The record is from RNAcentral.
AUUGAACGCUGGCGGCAGGCCUAACACAUGCAAGUCGAGCGGAUGAAGGGAGCUUGCUCCUGGAUUCAGCGGCGGACGGGUGAGUAAUGCCUAGGAAUCUGCCUGGUAGUGGGGGAUAACGUCCGGAAACGGGCGCUAAUACCGCAUACGUCCUGAGGGGGAAAGUGGGGGAUCUUCGGACCUCACGCUAUCAGAUGAGCCUAGGUCGGAUUAGCUAGUUGGUGGGGUAAAGGCCUACCAAGGCGACGAUCCGUAACUGGUCUGAGAGGAUGAUCAGUCACACUGGAACUGAGACACGGUCCAGACUCCUACGGGAGGCAGCAGUGGGGAAUAUUGGACAAUGGGCGAAAGCCUGAUCCAGCCAUGCCGCGUGUGUGAAGAAGGUCUUCGGAUUGUAAAGCACUUUUAGUUGGGAGGAAGGGCAGUAAGUUAAUACCUUGCUGUUUUGACGUUACCAACAGAAUAAGCACCGGCUAACUUCGUG